This 297-nucleotide ribosomal RNA is filed under the name uncultured bacterium. RNAcentral describes it as "partial 16S ribosomal RNA". It matches the Rfam family "Bacterial small subunit ribosomal RNA", at positions 524 to 830 of the family's 1533-position model. The record is from RNAcentral.
UACGGAGGAUGCGAGCGUUAUCCGGAUUUAUUGGGUUUAAAGGGUGCGUAGGCGGACAGUUAAGUCAGCGGUAAAAUUGAGAGGCUCAACCUCUUCCCGCCGUUGAAACUGAUUGUCUUGAGUGGGCGAGAAGUAUGCGGAAUGCGUGGUGUAGCGGUGAAAUGCAUAGAUAUCACGCAGAACUCCGAUUGCGAAGGCAGCAUACCGGCGCCCAACUGACGCUGAAGCACGAAAGCGUGGGUAUCGAACAGGAUUAGAUACCCGAGUAGUCCACAUCGGGUGCCAGCCGCCGCGGUA